CGCGGGGUGGAGCAGUUUGGAAGCUCGUCGGGCUCAUAACCCGGAGGUCGUAGGUUCAAAUCCUGCCCCCGCAACCA
This 77-nucleotide transfer RNA is filed under the name Alkalibaculum sporogenes. Its description in RNAcentral is "Alkalibaculum sp. M08DMB tRNA-Met". It matches the Rfam family "tRNA". Rfam says of the family: Transfer RNA (tRNA) molecules are approximately 80 nucleotides in length. Their secondary structure includes four short double-helical elements and three loops (D, anti-codon, and T loops). The record is from RNAcentral. Lineage: Bacteria; Bacillati; Bacillota; Clostridia; Eubacteriales; Eubacteriaceae.